ACCUGGCCAAUUUGCACUUGUGAUCUUGAAAUAAUUUUUGAAGAAGUUUUUGUCUAAUUGCCUGUUUACCUGGUCCUAGGUCUAUCAAGCCACGCCCCUUGCUGGAGACUCCACUAAGGACCUCCUAAACAGUAAUUUGGAUUCUGGAUCAGUUUCUGGCUGGCAGCUGCCCUUGCGAAUCCACCUGUCUGAUCAAGCGAAACCUGUCCACCCUCCUUCGUGUCCGCCAGGACCAUCUGAAAGCUCCAGCCGAACCAGCACAGCCGCACUGCUCCAGACUCGAACCUCUCUCCCCUGGUGGAUCGAUCCCCACCAGAAUCGUGUUUGCCCUGCGAUGGACAGGCAACCUGUCCAGGAUCUGCCCUGCCUCUCGCCCAAAGACUGCUGGAGAUAGGCACCAGCUCCACCAUGACCCACUAUGGAAUAAGCGGUAUAGAAGAUGAAUGAAUGAAUGUGCUCCAGUCACUUCUACGACCACAGGUGUAUAACAUCCAGCACCAAGACAUGCAAACUGCUUCUGUAAACAUUUGGGAAAGAAUGGGUCACUCUCUGGAGCUCGGUGAAUUCCAUCAGGGGUUCAGUGAUUGGAUGCCUAAAGAAGAGGAGGUGACUUGGAAUGAUAGCAACUCAGUCAUGAAAUGCUAGGCAACAAAAAAUAAAAGAACAGAUUCAGUUGAUUUUGAGGCACUUAGUUUGCAGAGGUCACCAAAUUUCUGCAGAGCCUAUAGCUGCAGACAUCUGAACUUAAUGUGGCCUUCAUAUUAGUUCAAGACCAGUAGGUACAGAGCUUCAUUAAAUAGGUUUUUGUGGCCAUGCAAUGUAAAGCACUUGAAGAUGCAAGUUCUUCACCCAUGCAGUGGUAUAAAGCAAGCCAACUCCAGACACUGGAGUUCUCUGUAGUGACUGGAUCAUGACUCUCUAAGAUGACGUCCAUGCCCAUGGUGUUGGGGGUAGUUUAUUUGAUUUACAGGCAGUUGGUAGCUGGCAGAGUCGUAUCUUCAGCAGUUUUCUCAGCGCAUGGCAGACAUCACGGAUACGUUUACCAUCCCUUAUAUGAGCAUAUGGACUGGAGCUGCAAUCAAACAGAGGGCCAUUUAUUGUAAACAUGCUGAUUCAGCGAGCUGCUUGAUGGAAUCACACCAAUGUCCUGUUACACACAUACAGGUGGAGAACAGCUAGUGAGUCUCAGUGCAUCCGGUAGUUUAAAUCAUGACAAAAGAUUAACAAAAUAAAUAGUGGUUUGAAAACUCUGCACUGUACUUUGUUUAAAAAUAUGUUGAAAAAGUGUUUUGCAGUGUUUUGUUUCUGCCUCAAGCUGUAUUAUCUCCAAUAAGAUGCCCUAAUAAAUUACAGACCAAUACCAAAUCAACUGCCCAUUUCUAGAAUUCCUAAAAAAAAUGGCUUCUAAUAAAUUAUAUGUUUUUAAUAAAUUAAAAUUAUAUGCUUCUAAUAAAUUAUAUAUGUCGUACUGUGUUACUAAUGGUCUUCUUUGACUGUGGUCUCAGCUCUCUUUGGGUCAUUGACUAGGUCCUACUGUGUAGUUCUGGGCUGAUCCCUCACCUUCCUCAUGAUCAUUGAUGCCCCAUGAGGUAAGAUCUUGCUAGCAACCCCAGACUGAGGAAGACUGACCAUCAUCUUGAACUUUUUCUAUUUUCUUAUUAUUGCUCCAACAGUUGUUGCCUUCUCACCAAGUUGCUUGACUAUUUUCCUGUAGCCCAUCCCAGCCUUGUGCAGGUCUACUGUUUUAUCCCUGGUGUCCUUACACAGCUCUCUGAUCUUGGCCAUUGUGCAGAGGCUGGAGUUUGUUUGAGUGUGUGGACAAUUGUCUUUUAUACAGAUAACGAGUUCGAACAGGUGCAGUCAAUACAGGUAAUGAGUGGAGGGCUUCUUGGAGAAGAAGUAACCGGCAUGUGAGAGCCGGAGUUCAGAAUCAGAAUCAGAUUUAUUGCCAAGUAAGUACAUACAAAUGUAGCCCAUGUGGUCUUAAGUUUGUUAAUUUCACCAAAAUUCUGCUUAUGAUCUGUAUUUUUUUUUUAUGUUAUUGUAUUAAUGUUGUUAUUGAAUGAAAAUUUAUUUUGGUGGGUCACGCACUCUCACUUCCUGUUUGUGCCGUUUCUCCUCGGUUGCUUAGAGGAAUAUGGAGGAGAGGUAGGCAGAAAACGUUGCUCCUGACGGAUAAAGUUAUUAUUACAUAUUUUUUUUGCAUAGAUGGGUUAUGAUAAUGAAUCUAGGGUGGUAUUGGAGUAAAGGCUCUUUAUAAAUUACUUUUGGUUUGGUUACCUGUGUGAAAUAUGAUUUUAAAUGUGUAUGUGUGAGACAAAGAGACUGGUGGCUGUAUUCAAAUCUGUGUUUUUACACAGGUCCAAUAAACUUCCUCGGACAGCA
Girardinichthys multiradiatus is the source of this 2385-nucleotide long non-coding RNA. RefSeq lists it as uncharacterized. The transcript is spliced from 3 exons. The record is from RefSeq and is a predicted model, not a curated record. NCBI's taxonomy places the organism in Eukaryota, Metazoa, Chordata, Actinopteri, Cyprinodontiformes, Goodeidae.